CCUACGGGAGGCAGCAGUGGGGAAUUUUCCGCAAUGGGCGCAAGCCUGACGGAGCAACGCCGCGUGAGGGAUGGAGGCCUCUGGGCUGUAAACCUCUUUUCUCAAGGAAGAAGACCUGACGGUACUUGAGGAAUAAGCCACGGCUAAUUCCGUGCCAGCAGCCGCGGUAAUACGGGAGUGGCAAGCGUUAUCCGGAAUUAUUGGGCGUAAAGCGUCCGCAGGCGGCCUAUUAAGUCUGUCGUUAAAGCGUGGAGCUCAACUCCAUUUAAGCGAUGGAAACUGGAAGGCUAGAGUGUGGUAGGGGCAGAGGGAAUUCCCGGUGUAGCGGUGAAAUGCGUAGAUAUCGGGAAGAACACCAGUGGCGAAGGCGCUCUGCUGGGCCAUAACUGACGCUCAUGGACGAAAGCCAGGGGAGCGAAAGGGAUUAGAUACCCCUGUAGUCCUGGCCGUAAACGAUGAACACUAGGUGUCGGGGGAAUCGACCCCCUCGGUGUCGUAGCUAACGCGUUAAGUGUUCCGCCUGGGGAGUACGCACGCAGUGUGAACUACAAUAGAAUUAGUACGGCGUGAGACGUGCCGAACGGACGACCGACGACGGGAGGUAGG
Molecule: ribosomal RNA, 606 nt
Filed under: uncultured bacterium
Lineage: Bacteria
Description: bacterial SSU rRNA
Rfam family: Bacterial small subunit ribosomal RNA
Source: RNAcentral